UACAGAGGGGGCAAGCGUUAUUCGGAAUUAUUGGGCGUAAAGGGCGCGUAGGCGGCUUUGCAAGUGGCGGGUGAAAUCCCUCGGCUUAACCGAGGAACUGCCUGCCAGACUGUGAGGCUUGAGACCGGGAGAGGUGAGUGGAAUUCCCAGUGUAGCGGUGAAAUGCGUAGAUAUCGUGGAGAACACCCGUGGCGAAGGCGGGCUUCUGGCUAAUUACUGACGCUGAGGUGCGAAAGCUAGGGGAGCGAACAGG
RNAcentral lists this ribosomal RNA (253 nucleotides) under uncultured bacterium. Its description in RNAcentral is "partial 16S ribosomal RNA". It matches the Rfam family "Bacterial small subunit ribosomal RNA", at positions 524 to 776 of the family's 1533-position model. The record is from RNAcentral.